Non-coding RNA from Aurantimonas sp., 86 nucleotides. Lineage: Bacteria; Pseudomonadati; Pseudomonadota; Alphaproteobacteria; Hyphomicrobiales; Aurantimonadaceae. The record is from Rfam.
UUUGCUGGUCGCCAUCGUGGGCGAUCGGCCCUGAAAUUCUGAGGAGAACGGACGUGGCUCGUAUCGCUGGCGUCAACAUCCCGACC